AUGGCACUGUUCAGAAUUCUGCAUGCAGUUUGGAGCUCGUGGAUAUGCUGUGCAAAUGGUGUUUUUUUGUGUUUAAUGAUUUUUUGUAUAAAAGUUAAAGGUGGCUUUAUAAAAGUGAAGAAAAACUCCUCUGUGGUACACUUGUUAAAUAGAAACAAAAACAUGUCAAAGAAGCUCGCCGGGCCAUCGCUGACUCCCCAAGUAGUACAUUUCCGUACUGUCAGCACCGGCUACAACAACGCUCCUAUUUUUGUCGUUCACUUUUUUGUUUACAUAUUGAAGGACAUCUGUGUUGAUUGCAAAAGUUGCCCACUUUGGCAAAACAGCUGGAAAAAAGAAAAUUGUAAUGCAAUGCACUUCGAGGGACUCCACGGUCCACUUCUCAUAAAAAGAAAAGAUGUUUCCCAAUUCAUGAAGUACGCUUUGGCUCUUUUCAAAUAA
RNAcentral lists this ribosomal RNA (441 nucleotides) under Triticum aestivum (bread wheat). Its description in RNAcentral is "partial small subunit ribosomal RNA". Lineage: Eukaryota; Viridiplantae; Streptophyta; Magnoliopsida; Poales; Poaceae. The record is from RNAcentral.